GAACACCUUGCAGGAUGCUCCACGGCACCUCCAUGUUAGCGGCGAGGAGCAGCCCCAGCAGGACCACGUAGCCGACCACGCCCAUCAGAUCAGAUACCUGCAGUCUCUUCCAGCUGGUAAGCUGCAACCUGUUCUCCCCGUUCAUAUUUUCCCCGUCAUCUGUCGGCAGGUUCGAGAAUAUUUCGUCCCUGUUGAUGUGCUGAUGUUCAUGGUCUCAGAUGCUACUUGCCCAAAUUGGAAGUUGCGAAAGCAGAUGAAAUCUUUGGUUAUUCUUUUACUGAUGUAAAUCAUGUGUGGUGUUAGUGUCUUGCAUAACAUCAGAUAUCUAAAUGGCCACCGAAAGUUUCAGGUCGGCAUCAUGGAUUGCCAUAAAAGAUUUCCCAUCUCUGUCCAGAUUUGAGGUGGCUUAUCCCAUUUUUCUAAGAAACAUUCUGCCUGAGCCAUUGCAUAAAAGAUGGCGGAUCGGGUCAGGCUGGAUCCUGAUUGGGCAGUGUCGGUGUAAAAUAAGGAGAGGCUUUUGAAGGUACUCAUUCCAUGUGGAGUUCAAGGCACCAUGAAUAAACCCAGUGCGUGCGUUGAAAAUUCCCUAAAAAGGGUAAAAUAGCACAGACAAGACGAUCCCUCUCCAUGGAGUGGAGCGAUCACUAAGACUGAAGCUCUGCAUGCAGGUCACACCUCCUGAACACUGAAAGGGAAAAAAAUAGAAACAUAAUUAUAGAGCAGAAUGGGCACGGUGCAAUUACAGAUAAAAAUCAAAUGGAUGAAAGCCUCACAUGACAGUUUUUUUUCAGAAGCUUUGAGACCGAGUUCAAUGGCAGGACGUUUCUAUGAACACACAGUUUCUGCAGCCAGUGGAUCUAAUCCUUCACCUGCUCCUACGAUCGUGAAGUUGGUGCCGAAAGAGCCUUCCAUUUUCCGCUCUGAGAGCAUAAAUCUCCCUUGCGCAUGUCUCACGGUCGCCCUCCAUUAUGUAGCUUAAUUGGGAGGUGGAGGAGAACGACGGCAUCCCAUGACUGCGGAGCACCAGGUCUUCAUUGCCUUCUUUUUUCUCGAGCGAACGGACGUUUUUCAUUCCCGUGAUGGGUUUUCCUUUGCCAUUAGCUAUGAUCUGGUGGUCUUUGAGUCCCUGAGCGGCAUCAGCUGCCAGACGGUGCUCAUGUUCCCACCACCGCCUUCCUCCAGAUAUCACACCCGAGUCCCGCGCUCCAUCCACAUGAAGAAAGGAACAUGAAGAGAGAGAGAGAGAGAGAGAGAGGAGAGAGAGAGGAGAGAGAGAGNN
This 1279-nucleotide long non-coding RNA is filed under the name Spirodela polyrhiza (greater duckweed). Its description in RNAcentral is "long non-coding RNA (SPOL_LNC001299)". The record is from RNAcentral. Lineage: Eukaryota; Viridiplantae; Streptophyta; Magnoliopsida; Alismatales; Araceae.